GAUGAACGCUGGCGGCGUGCCUAAUACAUGCAAGUCGAGCGAAUGGAUUAAGAGCUUGCUCUUAUGAAGUUAGCGGCGGACGGGUGAGUAACACGUGGGUAACCUGCCCAUAAGACUGGGAUAACUCCGGGAAACCGGGGCUAAUACCGGAUAACAUUUUGAACCGCAUGGUUCGAAAUUGAAAGGCGGCUUCGGCUGUCACUUAUGGAUGGACCCGCGUCGCAUUAGCUAGUUGUUGAGGUAACGGCUCACCAAGGCAACGAUGCGUAGCCGACCGGAGAGGGUGAUCGGCCACACUGGGACGGAGACACGGCCCAGACUCCUACGGGAGGCAGCAGUAGGGAAGCUUCCGCAAUGGACGAAAGUCUGACGGAGCAACGCCGCGUGAGUGAUGAAGGCUUUCGGGUCGUAAAACUCUGUUGUUAGGGAAGAACAAUUGCUAGUUGAAUAAGCUGGCACCUUGACGGUACCUAACCAGAAAGCCACGGCUAACUACGUGCCAGCAGCCGCCGUAA
This 515-nucleotide ribosomal RNA is filed under the name uncultured bacterium. RNAcentral describes it as "partial 16S ribosomal RNA". It matches the Rfam family "Bacterial small subunit ribosomal RNA", at positions 28 to 523 of the family's 1533-position model. The record is from RNAcentral.